AACAAAAACAUGUCUAUGUGAAGGUGUACAUAGUUUGGCCUGCUCACUGAUUAAAUUAAAGAGCCGCAGUAUUUUGACUGUGCGAAGGUAGCAUAAUAAAUUGUCUUUUAAAUAAAGGCUUGAAUGAAAGGUUGGACAAAGUAUCAUCUGUUUCUUAAAUAUUUAUUGAAUUUGACUUUUAAGUGAAAAGGCUUAAAUAAUACAAAAAGACGAUAAGACCCUAUAAAUCUUUACAAUAAAUAUAUUUUAUAUUUUAGUUUAUAAGUAAAUAAUAUAAAAAAAUAUAGAUUUGUUACGCUGGGGCGGCGUAGAUAUAUAAAUAAACUGUCUAUAAUUUAAAUACAAUAGUCGUUGUUUACCAAAACUUGAUCCUUAAAUAGAUUAAAAGAUUAAGAUACUUUAGGGAUAACAGCGUUAUUUUUUCUGAGAGUUCUUAUCGAAGAAAAAGUUUGCGACCUCGAUGUUGAAUUAAAGUUUCUCUAUGGUGCAGCCGCUAUAAGAGAGAGUCUGUUCGACUUUUAAUACUUUACAUGAUUUGAGUUCAGACCGGCGUGAGCCAGGUUGGUUUCUAUCUUUUGAUAAAUAUAGAAUUAUUUUAGUACGAAAGGAUUGAAUAAUUAAAAUAUUUUUAUAAUUUGGAAUAUUAAUACCUU
RNAcentral lists this ribosomal RNA (653 nucleotides) under Oedignathus inermis. RNAcentral's name for it is "partial 16S ribosomal RNA". It matches the Rfam family "Bacterial large subunit ribosomal RNA", at positions 1806 to 2738 of the family's 2925-position model. Lineage: Eukaryota; Metazoa; Arthropoda; Malacostraca; Decapoda; Lithodidae. The record is from RNAcentral.